CAGCCGCCGCGGUAAUACGUAGGGGGCGAGCGUUGUCCGGAUUUACUGGGCGUAAAGGGUGAGUAGGCGGUUAUAUAUGUCAGGUGUAAAAGGCUAUGGCUUAACCAUGGUUAGCACUUGAAACUGUAUGACUUGAGUGCAGGAGAGGUAAGUGGAAUUCCUAGUGUAGCGGUGAAAUGCGUAGAUAUUAGGAGGAACACCAGUGGCGAAGGCGACUUACUGGACUGUAACUGACGCUGAGUCACGAAAGCGUGGGUAGCAAACAGGAUUAGAUACCCUGGUAGUCCACGCUGUAAACGAUGAGUGCUAGGUGUUGGCCAGCGAUGGUCAGUGCCGGAGUUAACACAAUAAGCACUCCGCCUGGGGAGUACGUACGCAAGUAUGAAACUCAAAGGAAUUGACGGGGACCCGCACAAGCAGCGGAGCAUGUGGUUUAAUUCGAAGCAACGCGAAGAACCUUACCAAGGCUUGACAUCCCCUUGACAGGUACAGAGAUGUACCAUCAUUUUCGAAUGCAAGGGAGACAGGUGGUGCAUGGCC
RNAcentral lists this ribosomal RNA (540 nucleotides) under uncultured archaeon. Its description in RNAcentral is "bacterial SSU rRNA". It matches the Rfam family "Bacterial small subunit ribosomal RNA", at positions 509 to 1050 of the family's 1533-position model. The record is from RNAcentral.